GCCAAAUACUGCUGGUAACCAAAUCCAAAAUUAUAACUCUGAUUUUAAGGUAUUUCACACAUUGCAUGUCAGAUUUCACACUCACUUUUCCUGUAUGCAAUUAUGUUUGCGUCAAAAUUUGGAGAACACGAUGGCUCAGUUUGAGCACAGAACAGACAUUUUGCUUUCUCUGCAAAAUAUGCUUUGUGUAUGAGCAAAAGGAUAAAUAUUCUGCGAUUUGUGCUCAGAAUUUAGGCACAAAUAUAACUCCAUAUCCAUACAGUAUCCUGUAACAUCAGAGAGACUUUUUGAAAUGGAACCGUGUUUAUAUUCUCAAUAUUCAAGAGUUCCUUCACUUUUAGUUUUGUUUUAAAAUGACACUACAUUCAUCAACACAUGCCAAUCCAAAAUGUGAACUUAAAUUUGUGACCUUUGUUGUAUGUACAGUAUAGUAUGUGGUCUAAUGUAUACAUGAUUACAGUAGUCCUCAUGAGAUAUCAGCAUUUACAUACUUUGAUACCAAAAAAAUGGCAGAAUUUUUAUCUUCUACAUUGGGAUCAGCUUUAUCAAGGUUUUUGUUUUUCCACUUUUGGAAGCAUUUUAUUAUCUGCGGUACCUGUGGGCAUCCCAUAAUGCUCCAGUACUCUGUAUUCAAACCAAAAAAAAAUGCAGUUGGAAUACAGUAAUGUUUAUAUAAAUUAAAAUGGAAACAAAUACCCUGAUGGCACACAAAUCCAGAUGAUGUUUGGAUAUAUUUUUAUGUCUCCAUUUUGUGAAUAAGUCAUCAUUUUUUGUUUGAUUUUUUUUUCUUUUAAUCCUACCAUUAUAUGUGAAUUAUCCCAAGAAUGCUCUAUAUACAGUAUGUAGAUAUGCACUGUUACUCUUCUUUUGCAUCUUUGAAUUUGGACAGUAGCUAUUUUUAUGCAGCCUGUUUGAGUUCCUAUUGGAUUUAGGGUGAAAUCCUUUUUAUUGUUUUGUACUCAGAUCACCGACACAAACCUGCACCCCAGAUGGCUGCUGUCCCAAUGAAGGUGGUGUGAAAACUUAGUGUUAACAUCGCCCUCUGGCUUUAUUUGUAGCUGAACUGAACUCUUACAGGAAACUAAAUUCAGUCCCGAGAUCCCAAAAAGUCACAAAACAGCCCGAGAAACCACAGAGCUACAGCGUGGCGGUUUGACUGCACCAAACAUUCAGAUGACUCAGAGCGGCUCCCCCUCCACUCACCUGCUCAGUAUUACAGCCGAGGGGCCGAGCACCAUUGAAGUGAUGCACAGAACCUGCCUCAGUCGUGUCUUCGGAAGUCAUCGGCGUGAACUGACAGCGGCGGCCAUGCAAGACAAACACGAGGAUUGUUUUUUGCACCCCUCAAAAAAAAGGCUUAACUCUACUUUUCACAUUGCCUGUCAAAUAUUAUCGAAGCUUCAUGUAAUGAUGCUUUUUAGUUUUUGAAUAUAAAAGGAAAAGAGACAUGAAAAGAAAAACGAACAAUUUGUAAAACAUAAAAUGUUUUAUUUGUUGCAUGUCUUUUUGUUCUUCAAUAAAAUAACGUACUGCAGUGUUUUGAAUGUUAACUUCUUUUUUAUAAGGAUUUCAGAGUGAAAUCGUGGAGCCUUUUUCUUGACAGGUUUUAACUUUUAAGAUCUCUGCGUAUGUAAAAAGGUAUCAAAUGGAAAACUAUUGUCUUUUUAAUUCCAAUUCAAAACCUGUUUUCUGUGGAGAAAAAUAGCUGAAAGGUGUAGGUUUUAUGGUCUCUUAAUUUGUACUGGCAAUGCGUAUCCCAAAUAAAUAGUUUCUUUUGUUGCAUAAA
Molecule: long non-coding RNA, 1786 nt
Organism: Amphiprion ocellaris (clown anemonefish)
Lineage: Eukaryota; Metazoa; Chordata; Actinopteri; Pomacentridae
Source: Ensembl